RNAcentral lists this ribosomal RNA (253 nucleotides) under uncultured bacterium. Its description in RNAcentral is "partial 16S ribosomal RNA". It matches the Rfam family "Bacterial small subunit ribosomal RNA", at positions 524 to 776 of the family's 1533-position model. The record is from RNAcentral.
UACGAAGGUGGCAAGCGUUGUUCGGAAUUACUGGGCGUAAAGGGCGCGUAGGCGGCCCGCUAAGUCGAACGUGAAAUCCCCAGGCUCAACCUGGGAACUGCGUCCGAUACUGGCAGGCUUGAAUCCGGGAGAGGGAUGUGGAAUUCCAGGUGUAGCGGUGAAAUGCGUAGAUAUCUGGAGGAACACCGGUGGCGAAGGCGGCAUCCUGGACCGGUAUUGACGCUGAGGCGCGAAAGCUAGGGGAGCAAACGGG